Molecule: ribosomal RNA, 404 nt
Filed under: uncultured bacterium
Lineage: Bacteria
Description: bacterial SSU rRNA
Rfam family: Bacterial small subunit ribosomal RNA
Source: RNAcentral
GGGAAUAUUGGGCAAUGGGCGCAAGCCUGACCCAGCAACGCCGCGUGAAGGAAGAAGGCUUUCGGGUUGUAAACUUCUUUUGACAGGGAAGAGCAGAAGACGGUACCUGUCGAAUAAGCCACGGCUAACUACGUGCCAGCAGCCGCGGUAAUACGUAGGUGGCAAGCGUUGUCCGGAUUUACUGGGUGUAAAGGGCGUGUAGCCGGGCUGACAAGUCAGAUGUGAAAUCCGGGGGCUCAACCCCCGAACUGCAUUUGAAACUGUUGGUCUUGAGUAUCGGAGAGGCAGGCGGAAUUCCUAGUGUAGCGGUGAAAUGCGUAGAUAUUAGGAGGAACACCAGUGGCGAAGGCGGCCUGCUGGACGACAACUGACGGUGAGGCGCGAAAGCGUGGGGAGCAAACAGG